ACAUGCAGUCGAGCGGCAGAGGGAGCUUGCUCCGGAUGUUAGCGGCGGACGGGUGAGUAACACGUGGGUAACCUGCCUGUAAGACUGGGAUAACUCCGGGAAACCGGAGCUAAUACCGGAUAGUUCCUUGAACCGCAUGGUUCAGAGGAUGAAAGACGGUUUCGGCUGUCACUUACAGAUGGACCCGCGGCGCAUUAGCUAGUUGGUGGGGUAAUGGCUCACCAAGGCGACGAUGCGUAGCCGACCUGAGAGGGUGAUCGGCCACACUGGGACUGAGACACGGCCCAGACUCCUACGGGAGGCAGCAGUAGGGAAUCUUCCGCAAUGGACGAAAGUCUGACGGAGCAACGCCGCGUGAGUGAUGAAGGUUUUCGGAUCGUAAAGCUCUGUUGUUAGGGAAGAACAGUGCGAGAGUAACUGCUCGCACCUUGACGGUACCUAACCAGAAAGCCACGGCUAACUACGUGCCAGCCCCCCGCGCUAAU
This 485-nucleotide ribosomal RNA is filed under the name Bacillus pumilus. RNAcentral describes it as "bacterial SSU rRNA". It matches the Rfam family "Bacterial small subunit ribosomal RNA", at positions 53 to 524 of the family's 1533-position model. Lineage: Bacteria; Bacillati; Bacillota; Bacilli; Caryophanales; Bacillaceae. The record is from RNAcentral.